This 16-nucleotide transfer RNA is filed under the name Callisaurus draconoides crinitus. RNAcentral describes it as "partial tRNA-Thr". Lineage: Eukaryota; Metazoa; Chordata; Lepidosauria; Squamata; Phrynosomatidae. The record is from RNAcentral.
GUCUCUGUAGCUUAAA